UGGCAUGCGGGUGCUAUACAUGCAAGUCGAACGCUUCUUUUUCCACCGGAGCUUGCUCCACCGGAAAAAGAGGAGUGGCGAACGGGUGAGUAACACGUGGGUAACCUGCCCAUCAGAAGGGGAUAACACUUGGAAACAGGUGCUAAUACCGUAUAACAAUCGAAACCGCAUGGUUUUGAUUUGAAAGGCGCUUUCGGGUGUCGCUGAUGGAUGGACCCGCGGUGCAUUAGCUAGUUGGUGAGGUAACGGCUCACCAAGGCCACGAUGCAUAGCCGACCUGAGAGGGUGAUCGGCCACAUUGGGACUGAGACACGGCCCAAACUCCUACGGGAGGCAGCAGUAGGGAAUCUUCGGCAAUGGACGAAAGUCUGACCGAGCAACGCCGCGUGAGUGAAGAAGGUUUUCGGAUCGUAAAACUCUGUUGUUAGAGAAGAACAAGGAUGAGAGUAACUGUUCAUCCCUUGACGGUAUCUAACCAGAAAGCCACGGCUAACUACGUGCCAGCAGCCGCGGUAAUACGUAGGUGGCAAGCGUUGUCCGGAUUUAUUGGGCGUAAAGCGAGCGCAGGCGGUUUCUUAAGUCUGAUGUGAAAGCCCCCGGCUCAACCGGGGAGGGUCAUUGGAAACUGGGAGACUUGAGUGCAGAAGAGGAGAGUGGAAUUCCAUGUGUAGCGGUGAAAUGCGUAGAUAUAUGGAGGAACACCAGUGGCGAAGGCGGCUCUCUGGUCUGUAACUGACGCUGAGGCUCGAAAGCGUGGGGAGCAAACAGGAUUAGAUACCCUGGUAGUCCACGCCGUAAACGAUGAGUGCUAAGUGUUGGAGGGUUUCCGCCCUUCAGUGCUGCAGCUAACGCAUUAAGCACUCCGCCUGGGGAGUACGACCGCAAGGUUGAAACUCAAAGGAAUUGACGGGGGCCCGCACAAGCGGUGGAGCAUGUGGUUUAAUUCGAAG
Molecule: ribosomal RNA, 950 nt
Filed under: Enterococcus faecium
Lineage: Bacteria; Bacillati; Bacillota; Bacilli; Lactobacillales; Enterococcaceae
Description: bacterial SSU rRNA
Rfam family: Bacterial small subunit ribosomal RNA
Source: RNAcentral